This 446-nucleotide ribosomal RNA is filed under the name uncultured bacterium. Its description in RNAcentral is "bacterial SSU rRNA". It matches the Rfam family "Bacterial small subunit ribosomal RNA", at positions 330 to 792 of the family's 1533-position model. The record is from RNAcentral.
CCCAGACUCCUACGGGAGGCAGCAGUGGGGGAUAUUGCACAAUGGGGGGAACCCUGAUGCAGCGACGCCGCGUGGGUGAAGGAGUAUUUCGGUAUGUAAAGCCCUAUCGGCAGGGAAGAAGCAAGACGGUACCUGACUAAGAAGCCCCGGCUAACUACGUGCCAGCAGCCGCGGUAAUACGUAGGGGGCAAGCGUUAUCCGGAUUUACUGGGUGUAAAGGGAGCGUAGACGGCGGGGCAAGUCUGGAGUGAAAGGCCAGGGCCCAACCCCGGGACCGCUCUGGAAACUGCCCGGCUGGAGUGCGGGAGAGGUAAGCGGAACUCCUAGUGUAGCGGUGAAAUGCGUAGAUAUUAGGAGGAACACCAGCGGCGAAGGCGGCUUACUGGACCGUGACUGACGUUGAGGCUCGAAAGCGUGGGGAGCAAACAGGAUUAGAUACCCUCGUA